GCUCGCCUAGCUCAAUCGGAUAGAACAUCAGACUCUUACAGUAGUCUAGUAAUUUGGGUGAUCUGAAGGCUGCGAGUUCGAUCCUCGCAGUGGGCU
This is a non-coding RNA of Marasmius sp. AFHP31, 96 nucleotides long. Lineage: Eukaryota; Fungi; Basidiomycota; Agaricomycetes; Agaricales; Marasmiaceae. The record is from the annotation of a GenBank genome assembly.